RNAcentral lists this ribosomal RNA (778 nucleotides) under uncultured Bacteroidota bacterium. Its description in RNAcentral is "bacterial SSU rRNA". It matches the Rfam family "Bacterial small subunit ribosomal RNA", at positions 564 to 1348 of the family's 1533-position model. Lineage: Bacteria; Pseudomonadati; Bacteroidota. The record is from RNAcentral.
AGGGAGCGUAGGCGGAUUUUUAAGUCAGUUGUGAAAGUUUGAGGCUCAACCUUAAAAUUGCAGUUGAAACUGGAAGUCUUGAGUGCACGCAGAGGUGCCGGAAUUCAUGGUGUAGCGGUGAAAUGCUUAGAUAUCAUGAAGAACUCCGAUCGCGAAGGCAAGUGCCUGGAGUGCUACUGACGCUGAGGCUCGAAAGUGCGGGUAUCAAACAGGAUUAGAUACCCUGGUAGUCCGCACAGUAAACGAUGGAUACUCGCGGUGCGUGAGCAAUUAUGCGUCGCCAAGCGAAAGCGUUAAGUAUCCCACCUGGGGAGUACGCCGGCAACGGUGAAACUCAAAGGAAUUGACGGGGGCCCGCACAAGCGGAGGAACAUGUGGUUUAAUUCGAUGAUACGCGAGGAACCUUACCCGGGCUUGAACUGCUGGUGAAUGGUGCAGAGACGCAUCAGUCUUCGGACACCAGUAGAGGUGCUGCAUGGUUGUCGUCAGCUCGUGCCGUGAGGUGUCGGCUUAAGUGCCAUAACGAGCGCAACCCUUUUCUGCGUUUGCCAUCGGGUAAUGCCGGGCACUCCGCAGAUACUGCCAUCGUAAGAUGUGAGGAAGGUGGGGAUGACGUCAAAUCAGCACGGCCCUUACGUCCGGGGCUACACACGUGUUACAAUGGCAGGUACAGAAGGUCGCUACCCAGCGAUGGGACGCCAAUCCGUUAAACCUGUCUCAGUUCGGACUGGAGUCUGCAACCCGACUCCACGAAGCUGGAUUCGCUAGUAAUCGCGCA